RNAcentral lists this ribosomal RNA (496 nucleotides) under uncultured bacterium. Its description in RNAcentral is "partial 16S ribosomal RNA". It matches the Rfam family "Bacterial small subunit ribosomal RNA", at positions 28 to 506 of the family's 1533-position model. The record is from RNAcentral.
GAUGAACGCUGGCGGCGUGCCUAAUACAUGCAAGUCGAGCGAACAGACGAGGAGCUUGCUCCUCUGGCGUUAGCGGCGGACGGGUGAGUAACACGUGGAUAACCUACCUAUAAGACUGGGAUAACUUCGGGAAACCGGAGCUAAUACCGGAUAAUAUAUUGAACCGCAUGGUUCAAUAGUGAAAGACGGUUUUGCUGUCACUUAUAGAUGGAUCCGCGCCGCAUUAGCUAGUUGGUAAGGUAACGGCUUACCAAGGCAACGAUGCGUAGCCGACCUGAGAGGGUGAUCGGCCACACUGGAACUGAGACACGGUCCAGACUCCUACGGGAGGCAGCAGUAGGGAAUCUUCCGCAAUGGGCGAAAGCUUGACGGAGCAACGCCGCGUGGGUGAGGAAGGUCUUCGGAUCGUAAAACGCUGUUAUUAGGGAAGAACAAAUGUGUAAGUAACGAUGCACGUCUGGACGGUACCUAAUCAGAAAGCCACGGCUAACUACGU